This is a long non-coding RNA of Rosa chinensis, 356 nucleotides long. RefSeq lists it as uncharacterized. Lineage: Eukaryota; Viridiplantae; Streptophyta; Magnoliopsida; Rosales; Rosaceae. The record is from RefSeq and is a predicted model, not a curated record. The transcript is spliced from 3 exons.
CUUCUUGCGCAAAGUUGCUCUUCAUGGCUCUUAAUUUGGGGUGCUUGGCACUUGGUGUCUAGUAGCUUAACACAUUGGGGUUCCUUCCUACACAUGCAUCCGAUUGGGUUUCAUCCUUACCCCCUGCUCAGGUUAAGAGCAAGCUUAAAGGUCACUCUAAAAGGAUAACUGGCCUAGCAUUCUCUCAUGUAUUAAAUGUGCUAGUUUCAUCAAGAGCAGAUGCUCAGGUACACCUAAUCAGAUCUUGUUCUUAUGUAGUUUUGCAACUGUGAUAGUAGUCCAAAAUCUAAUUAGACGCCCAGAUAUCUUUCCUGCUUAUGUAUAACCGAGGAAAGAUAAUAUAUCUAACAGGCAUA